Molecule: small nucleolar RNA, 72 nt
Organism: Papio anubis (olive baboon)
Lineage: Eukaryota; Metazoa; Chordata; Mammalia; Primates; Cercopithecidae
Source: Ensembl
UGGGUUGAUGAUGACUACUGGUGGCGUAUGAGUCAUCUACAAUGAAUAUGUCUCUGGAACUCUGAGGUGUGU